Molecule: non-coding RNA, 1409 nt
Organism: Pelobates cultripes (western spadefoot toad)
Lineage: Eukaryota; Metazoa; Chordata; Amphibia; Anura; Pelobatidae
Source: the annotation of a GenBank genome assembly
CAGAGUAUAAAGAAAUCAGUUUAGACACCAGACAUUUUGUUCCAUAAAAUGGCUAGGGUAGCAAUAUGGCUGACAACAAGACAAUGUCAGCUUCCUCAUAGUUCUUCUUUUGUUUGCUGGAUUUUCACCACAAUGCUCUGUGCAACACCCCAAUGGUUGAAAGGGUUAUUACAGAACCAGCGGUAUUAGACAGCACUGCACCUUCAGGACUUUCCAGGUUCUUACGUGCAAAGUUUAUGUCCUCAUAAGUAAGUAUCUCAGUUUCUUCGGCCUGCAUGGAUAAUGACCAAACAGAUGUAAUUGCAAAAUACUUAUUGCAUGGUCAGCCAGAGAGAUUGGUGUGUAGUCCCAGAAAUCAGGCGGCACAAACACUCCAGGACGGUCUCUACAAUCAUACAAACACAAGGAUCAAUACAACAUCAAUUAAUUAACUACCUAGGCUAAAACUUAAAUUAGAGAUUAAGGUUAAACCCUUAACUUGUGUAACAUGUACUUCUCUUAUAUUUGCUUAUAUUUUAUGCAAUCUGUGUUCUAUGAAGUUUUACAUAAUUUCCCUUUGGAAUGCCUUUGUACGGAUGAGAGAAGCACUCACUCUAUAGAAAUGCUUGUUAGGAUGAAUAUUAAAACACUAACAUAUACAUAUGGGGAUAAUUCCCAAUAAAACUCUGUUCCUAAACUGGAACCUUGAUUUGAUAUUCAAAAUUAAUUACUUUAAUACUCCCGAAUAAUUCAAUACUCUCGGAUUAACACCUAAAACUAUGUAAAAUAUUAAAAACAUGAACCAUCUGUGUAUUAGGCUGGGAUUGUUGGGUGUGGGUAUAGGUUAGAAGCUAUGGUUGAUAUUGAGGAAUCUAUGGGGGUGGGUUUGGGCACUCAUUUUUUCAGUGACCCUGCUAUCCACAAUUGCUGUAUCUUCCCAAAAAAAUAAUUUGGGGUCAAAAAGGGCCAGUCACAGACCAACAAGGAACAAAAGUGAACAAGGAGGAAGCAUAUUCCAUAUGCAGGUCGGGAUUACUUAACUCACACCCCCUCUUUGUGUACCCCUCUUUGUACCACACAGAUUUAAUAUUAAUAAGCUUUUAAAGGUUGAAUGGAUAGUUAAAUUUUGUAUAUAAAGCAAGGUUGUCUAGGGGUAUAUACAUAUAGGCAUAGCCUUCAUAUAGGGCUUGCAAUACUGACAGUCUGUGUCAUGAGCGUAAUGCAGACAUGCGGUUAGGUACUUUUCCAUUGUUAUAAUAUAUUGAAAACACUAAGACUUUGCAAAUUUUUAAAACACAUAUUGCUUCCUGUACCUGGUGCCGUGCAAGGAUGUAGUUGGGACAUAUUUCUUAUUGAGUAUCAAAAAUCUAACCACAAAACUAAAUGUUAUACGCUUAUCAAGAAAACAAGUUUAACCCGUUAGUGCGUAC